GAUGAAGAACGUAGUGAAAUGCGAUAAGUAAUGUGAAUUGCAGAAUUCAGUGAAUCAUCGAAUCUUUGAACGCACAUUGCGCCCUUUGGUAUUCCUUAGGGCAUGCCUGUUCGAGCGUCAUUUAAACCUUCAAGCUCAGCUUGGUGUUGGGUGACUGUCCGCUUCACCGCGGACUCGCCUCAAAAUUAUUGGCGGCCGGUACAUUGGCUUCGAGCGCAGCAGAAACGCGAACUCGGGCCCGUCGUAUUGGCUCCCAGAAGCUAUCUUCACAAUUUUGACCUCGGAUCAGGUAGGGAUACCCGCUGAACUUAAGCAUAUCAAUAAGCGGAGGA
RNAcentral lists this unclassified non-coding RNA (332 nucleotides) under soil metagenome. RNAcentral describes it as "partial contains 5.8S ribosomal RNA, internal transcribed spacer 2, and large subunit ribosomal RNA". The stretch from base 1 to 120 matches the Rfam family "5.8S ribosomal RNA", at positions 35 to 154 of the family's 154-position model. The record is from RNAcentral.